This 429-nucleotide ribosomal RNA is filed under the name uncultured bacterium. RNAcentral's name for it is "bacterial SSU rRNA". It matches the Rfam family "Bacterial small subunit ribosomal RNA", at positions 355 to 775 of the family's 1533-position model. The record is from RNAcentral.
UAGGGAAUCUUCCGCAAUGGACGAAAGUCUGACGGAGCAACGCCGCGUGAGUGAUGAAGGUUUUCGGAUCGUAAAGCUCUGUUGUUAGGGAAGAACAAGUACCUGUUAAAUAAGCAGGUACCUUGACGGUACCUAACCAGAAAGCCACGGCUAACUACGUGCCAGCAGCCGCGGUAAUACGUAGGUGGCAAGCGUUGUCCGGAAUUAUUGGGCGUAAAGCGCGCGCAGGCGGUUCCUUAAGUCUGAUGUGAAAGCCCACGGCUCAACCGUGGAGGGUCAUUGGAAACUGGGGAACUUGAGUGCAGAAGAGGAGAGCGGAAUUCCACGUGUAGCGGUGAAAUGCGUAGAGAUGUGGAGGAACACCAGUGGCGAAGGCGGCUCUCUGGUCGGUAACUGACGCUGAGGCGCGAAAGCGUGGGGAGCGAACAG